GUCCAUGUAGUAUAUUCAUUACAUCGGUCUUGUAAACCGGCAAAGGGAAUAAUAAACUUCCCCAUAGACU
RNAcentral lists this transfer RNA (70 nucleotides) under Artibeus hartii (little fruit-eating bat). RNAcentral describes it as "tRNA-Thr". Lineage: Eukaryota; Metazoa; Chordata; Mammalia; Chiroptera; Phyllostomidae. The record is from RNAcentral.